GUGGGUAACCUGCCUGUAAGACUGGGAUAACUCCGGGAAACCGGAGCUAAUACCGGAUAGUUCCUUGAACCGCAGGUUCAAGGAUGAAAGACGGUUUCGGCUGUCACUUACAGAUGGACCCGCGGCGCAUAGCUAGUUGGUGGGGUAAUGGCUCACCAAGGCGACGAUGCGUAGCCGACCUGAGAGGGUGAUCGGCCACACUGGGACUGAGACACGGCCCAGACUCCUACGGGAGGCAGCAGUAGGGAAUCUUCCGCAAUGGACGAAAGUCUGACGGAGCAACGCCGCGUGAGUGAUGAAGGUUUUCGGAUCGUAAAGCUCUGUUGUUAGGGAAGAACAAGUGCGAGAGUAACUGCUCGCACCUUGACGGUACCUAACCAGAAAGCCACGGCUAACUACGUGCCAGCAGCCGCGGUAAUACGUAGGUGGCAAGCGUUGUCCGGAAUUAUUGGGCGUAAAGGGCUCGCAGGCGGUUUCUUAAGUCUGAUGUGAAAGCCCCCGGCUCAACCGGGGAGGGUCAUUGGAAACUGGGAAACUUGAGUGCAGAAGAGGAGAGUGGAAUUCCACGUGUAGCGGUGAAAUGCGUAGAGAUGUGGAGGAACACCAGUGGCGAAGGCGACUCUCUGGUCUGUAACUGACGCUGAGGAGCGAAAGCGUGGGGAGCGAACAGGAUUAGAUACCCUGGUAGUCCACGCCGUAAACGAUGAGUGCUAAGUGUUAGGGGGUUUCCGCCCCUUAGUGCUGCAGCUAACGCAUUAAGCACUCCGCCUGGGGAGUACGGUCGCAAGACUGAAACUCAAAGGAAUUGACGGGGGCCCGCACAAGCGGUGGAGCAUGUGGUUUAAUUCGAAGCAACGCGAAGAACCUUACCAGGUCUUGACAUCCUCUGACAACCCUAGAGAUAGGGCUUUCCCUUCGGGGACAGAGUGACAGGUGGUGCAUGGUUGUCGUCAGCUCGUGUC
Molecule: ribosomal RNA, 962 nt
Filed under: Bacillus safensis
Lineage: Bacteria; Bacillati; Bacillota; Bacilli; Caryophanales; Bacillaceae
Description: bacterial SSU rRNA
Rfam family: Bacterial small subunit ribosomal RNA
Source: RNAcentral